GCAGGAGGAGGGACACGCCUGUCCAGAUAAUUAAGACACGUGCUUGAGAGACAGGCAGCCCUGCCUUCACCCCCAGCCUGGGAGCCCUCUUAAGGGCUGCCCUUCAGCUUGGCUUUGAGCGCCACUUCUCCGCUGGAGACACCUGUGGCUGUCCUCUCCCUUCUGCCUUUCUCCAGGACUGGGAAACAGCGGGACCACGCCCACUGGGGGCUCCUCUCCCCCCUCCUGUUCCCCACCUACCAUCCACAGGCCACUACAUCUGCCUCUUCCCAGAAAGAAUGCAUGCCCCACGUUCAAGGCUACAGCGAGCAGCAGGACUGUACUGAAGGUUCCAGAACAGAGCCGGGAAUGUGGAUUUUAUUGCCAAGUUCUACAACCUACCUACCCUCUCACUCUAAAGAGGAAGUGCCCAUGCUGAAAAAGACUUACGAAAUCAGAAACUUCCUGAAGUGUGUACAUACAUGGAUCAUUUGACCAGCAGAAGGUUCAUCAUUUAUGAUACUAACAGAAUGGCCCAGAAUGGCUGGUCUGGCAAAGUUGCUGAGGCUGGCUUCAAAUUUAUGAUCCUCUGGGCUGGGGAUGUGGCUCAAGCGGUAGCGCGCUCGCCUGGCAUGCGUGCGGCCCGGGUUCGAUCCUCAGCACCACAUACAAACAAAGAUGUUGUGUCCGCCA
Long non-coding RNA from Marmota monax (woodchuck), 672 nucleotides. RefSeq lists it as uncharacterized. The record is from RefSeq and is a predicted model, not a curated record. Lineage: Eukaryota; Metazoa; Chordata; Mammalia; Rodentia; Sciuridae. The transcript is spliced from 3 exons.